RNAcentral lists this ribosomal RNA (478 nucleotides) under uncultured organism. Its description in RNAcentral is "bacterial SSU rRNA". It matches the Rfam family "Bacterial small subunit ribosomal RNA", at positions 28 to 507 of the family's 1533-position model. The record is from RNAcentral.
GAUGAACGCUAGCGGCAGGCCUAACACAUGCAAGUCGAGGGGUAGUUACUUUCGGGUAAUGAGACCGGCGCACGGGUGCGUAACGCGUAUGCAAUCUACCUUUUACAGAGGGAUAGCCCAGAGAAAUUUGGAUUAAUACCUCAUAGAAUAAUAAAAUGGCAUCAUUUAAUUAUUAAAGUUCCAACGGUAAAAGAUGAGCAUGCGUCCCAUUAGUUAGUUGGUAAGGUAACGGCUUACCAAGACGAUGAUGGGUAGGGGUCCUGAGAGGGAGAUCCCCCACACUGGUACUGAGACACGGACCAGACUCCUACGGGAGGCAGCAGUGAGGAAUAUUGGUCAAUGGGCGCAAGCCUGAACCAGCCAUGCCGCGUGCAGGAAGACGGUCCUAUGGAUUGUAAACUGCUUUUAUACAGGAAGAAACAGUCCCUCGUGAGGGAUCUUGACGGUACUGUAAGAAUAAGGAUCGGCUAACUCCGUG